This 229-nucleotide ribosomal RNA is filed under the name uncultured bacterium. RNAcentral's name for it is "partial 16S ribosomal RNA". It matches the Rfam family "Bacterial small subunit ribosomal RNA", at positions 568 to 796 of the family's 1533-position model. The record is from RNAcentral.
UCCGUAGGUGGAUAAUUAAGUCGGAGGUGAAAUCCUGCAGCUCAACUGUAGAAUUGCCUUUGAUACUGGUUAUCUUGAGUCAUUAUGAAGUGGUUAGAAUGUGUAGUGUAGCGGUGAAAUGCAUAGAUAUUACACAGAAUACCGAUUGCGAAGGCAGAUCACUAAUAAUGUACUGACACUGAUGGACGAAAGCGUGGGGAGCGAACAGGAUUAGAUACCCUGGUAGUCC